UUGUGACGACUAUUUAUAUUCUCUCUUCUGCUGCUCUCGCAAGUCACGCAAUUGAAAGCGCUCGAUCUCAGAGCCGUUGACAUCAUAAUACUGGUGUGAUGUAAUCUGUGCUAAAGACAUCAGCGAUUACAAUACAUCUAACAUGGCCAAUUGUGGGAAAAGCAACGUCACGAUUCGGCCAACGCCAAUACAAACGUUCUAUGCGAGCCAGUCAAUCUUUAUUACAAGUAUUUACUGCGUCUGAAUGCAACGCGAUCAUAUGUGAUACGAUGAGCAAUAACUUGUGUAUCAUUGAUAUAUAAAAUAAUAUGUAUUAAAUCAGGAGUUUCCUUGGGAACGGGUUUCCUUGGGAAGAUUUUGAUCGAAAAAUUGCUGCGAAGUUGUCCUGACGUCUCUAAGAUAUACCUAAUGGUGUGUUCAAAAAAAAACAAAAGCGCUGCGACUCGGUUGGACGAAAUAUUUGAAACUCCCUCGAGUGAAUAAAGAGACGCCCAACUUUUAUGAAAUAAUUGUGCCACUGAUCGGCGAAUUGUACAAAGUAAACUUGGGAUUCAUGAAAGGUGACACGGAUUUACUAAGGCACAAGGUAAGGAAUCUAAUCGUGAAAUUCCAAAAAAACUUUACAACAAGGUAAGGAAUCUAAUCGUGAAAUUCCAACAAAAAAUUUCUCGUACAAAAAGUACG
Molecule: RNA transcript, 684 nt
Organism: Dinoponera quadriceps
Lineage: Eukaryota; Metazoa; Arthropoda; Insecta; Hymenoptera; Formicidae
Gene name: putative fatty acyl-CoA reductase CG5065
Exons: 3
Source: RefSeq, a predicted model, not a curated record